UUUAGUUCAGGUCCUUGUGAGGUAUUGUGUCUUUCCAGAACAACUGAGUGUUCACUUUGGAUAUUGUUUUGUUGGAUUCUGACUACCUUCUGUGUUUUGGACUUUGCCUGUUUGCCUUUGCCCCUUGAAUUCUGUUUGCCUGAGUGACACUGAAUGCAUUAUCUGAGAGAUACAGAGGGAUAGAGGCAGAGUGUCUGCAGCUGUGAGCAACUGAAGACCUGUGAGUAAGUGACAUCGCUGAGCUCAUCUGCUGCUUCACCUGAUACAGAAUACAGUGUAUGAGUUACUAUAAGUGGAGUCAAACAUGUUUAACAUGAUAUAGUUACUUUUGCACCUCUUACCUGCUCUUUGCAUAGUGUCAUAAACAUGGACAUCUCCUACAGAAAAGAACAAGAACAGACAAAUAUUGAACUCCAUAAACAAUGGGAGCUCUGUACUUUUAAAAAUUAAAAUCACAAACUGGCUUGUUGCCUGCACUGGCAGGUGUCCAGACUGAGAGUCCUCAGCUCCUGACUCUCUCUGGUUCUGAACUGACAUCUGAUUGAUGUUCUCCAGAUGCCCUGAAGAGGGAUAAAGAGAUUCAUCAUCUGGUUGACACAGUAAUUUGUGUUUCUAACCAAUGUUUAAUCAUGUACAAGUUAUCUGAAUGAGUUAUCAGACCUUUGUGAGUUCUGUAGCACCACAGGAGUAUCAGUAAAAUGAUGAACAA
Molecule: long non-coding RNA, 709 nt
Organism: Pygocentrus nattereri (red-bellied piranha)
Lineage: Eukaryota; Metazoa; Chordata; Actinopteri; Characiformes; Serrasalmidae
Exons: 4
Source: RefSeq, a predicted model, not a curated record